AACAGGGUGGCCGAGAAACUUAGGCAGAAGAUUGUAGUCCUUCCAACGGACCCCUAGUCCCCCUGUUA
Molecule: transfer RNA, 68 nt
Filed under: Paralvinella hessleri
Lineage: Eukaryota; Metazoa; Annelida; Polychaeta; Terebellida; Alvinellidae
Description: tRNA-Tyr
Source: RNAcentral